This 251-nucleotide ribosomal RNA is filed under the name uncultured bacterium. Its description in RNAcentral is "partial 16S ribosomal RNA". It matches the Rfam family "Bacterial small subunit ribosomal RNA", at positions 78 to 334 of the family's 1533-position model. The record is from RNAcentral.
CUAAAGAUGGCGACCGGCGCACGGGUGAGUAACACGUAUCCGACCUGCCGAUAACUCGGGGAUAGCCUUUCGAAAGAAAGAUUAAUACCCGAUGGCAUAAUUAGACCGCAUGGUCUUAUUAUUAAAGAAUUUCGGUUAUCGAUGGGGAUGCGUUCCAUUAGGCAGUUGGUGAGGUAACGGCUCACCAAACCUUCGAUGGAUAGGGGUUCUGAGAGGAAGGUCCCCCACAUUGGAACUGAGACACGGUCCAA